UUCUCAAAGAUUAAGCCAUGCAAGUCUAAGUAUUAGCAAUCUAUACGGUGAAACUGCGAAUGGGCUCAUUAAAUCAGUUAUCGUUUAUUUGAUAGUACCUUACUACACGGAUAUCUGUGGUAAUUCUAGAGUUAAUACGUGCUAAAAACCCCGACUUCGGAAGGGGUGUGUUUAUUAGACAAAAAACCAAUGCCCUCCGGGGCUCCUUGGUGAUUCAUAGUAACUCAACGAAUCGCAUGGCCUUGCGCCGGCGAUGGUUCAUUCAAAUUUCUGCCCUAUCAACUUUCGAUGCUAGGGUAGUGGCCUAGCAUGGUUACAACGGGUAACGGGGAAUUAGGGUUCUAUUCCGGAGAGGGAGCCUGAGAAACGGCUACCACAUCCAAGGAAGGCAGCAGGCGCGCAAAUUACCCAAUCCCGACUCGGGGAGGUAGUGACAAUAAAUACUGAUACAGGGCUCUUUUGGGUCUUGUAAUUGGAAUGGGUACGAUUUAAACACCCUAACGAGGAACAAUUGGAGGGCAAGUCUGGUGCCAGCAGCCGCGGUAAUUCCAGCUCCAAUAGCGUAUAUUAAAGUUGUUGCAGUUAAAACGCUCGUCGUUGAACCUUGGGCCUGGGCGACCGGUCUCCCUCACCGGAUGCACUGGUUCGGCCGGGCCUUUCCUUCUGGGGAUCCGCAUGCCCUUCGCUGGGCGUGCCGGGGAACCAGGACUUUUACUUUGAAAAAAUUAGAGUGUUCAAAGCAGGCCUUUGCUCGAAUACCUUAGCAUGGAAUAAUAGAAUAGGACGUGCGGUCCUAUUUUGUUGGUUUCUAGGACCGCCGUAAUGAUUAAUAGGGUCAGUCGGGGGCAUCAGUAUUCAAUUGUCAGAGGUGAAAUUCUUAGAUUUAUUGAAGACUAACUACUGCGAAAGCAUUUGCCAAGGAUGUUUUCAUUAAUCAGUGAACGAAAGUUAGGGGAUCGAAGACGAUCAGAUACCGUCGUAGUCCUAACCAUAAACUAUGCCGACUAGGGAUCGGGCGAUGUUAUCAUUUUGACUCGCUCGGCACCUUACGAGAAAUCAAAGUGUUUGGGUUCUGGGGGGAGUAUGGUCGCAAGGCUGAAACUUAAAG
Molecule: ribosomal RNA, 1108 nt
Filed under: Jahnula potamophila
Lineage: Eukaryota; Fungi; Ascomycota; Dothideomycetes; Jahnulales; Aliquandostipitaceae
Description: SSU rRNA
Rfam family: Eukaryotic small subunit ribosomal RNA
Source: RNAcentral